Molecule: ribosomal RNA, 599 nt
Filed under: uncultured bacterium
Lineage: Bacteria
Description: bacterial SSU rRNA
Rfam family: Bacterial small subunit ribosomal RNA
Source: RNAcentral
UGCAGCGGCACCUAAUGGUGACAGUUGUUAAAGCGGGGGAUCGCAAGACCUCGCGUCUGAAGAGGAGCCUGCGGCAGAUUAGCUAGUUGGUAAGGUAACGGCUUACCAAGGCGAUGAUCUGUAGCCGGCCUGAGAGGGCGGUCGGCCACACUGACACUGACAUACGGGUCAGACUCCUACGGGAGGCAGCAGUCGGGAAUUUUGGGCAAUGGGCGAAAGCCUGACCCAGCAACGCCGCGUGAAGGACGAAAUCCUUCUGGGAUGUAAACUUCAAAAGUUGGGGACGAACACCGUGCGCGGACAAUGCGCGCGGGCUGACGGUACCCAACGUAAGCCCCGGCUAACUACGUGCCAGCAGCCGCGGUAAUACGUAGGGGGCAAGCGUUGUUCGGAAUUACUGGGCGUAAAGGGCGCGUAGGCGGCCGACUAAGUCAGACGUGAAAUCCCCAGGCUCAACCUGGGAACUGCGUCUGAUACUGGACGGCUCGAAUCCGGGAGAGGGAUGUGGAAUUCCAGGUGUAGCGGUGAAAUGCGUAGAUAUCGAGAGGAACACCUGCGGCGAAGGCGGGUUGCUGGGCUGACAUUGACGCUGAGGCGCG